This 406-nucleotide ribosomal RNA is filed under the name uncultured bacterium. RNAcentral describes it as "bacterial SSU rRNA". It matches the Rfam family "Bacterial small subunit ribosomal RNA", at positions 354 to 776 of the family's 1533-position model. The record is from RNAcentral.
GUGGGGAAUAUUGCACAAUGGGGGAAACCCUGAUGCAGCGACGCCGCGUGAGUGAAGAAGUAUUUCGGUAUGUAAAGCUCUAUCAGCAGGAACGAGACAAGACGGUACCUGACUAAGAAGCCCCGGCUAACUACGUGCCAGCAGCCGCGGUAAUACGUAGGGGGCAAGCGUUAUCCGGAAUCACUGGGUGUAAAGGGAGCGUAGACGGCUGAGCAAGCCUGAAGUGAAAGGCGGGGGCCCAACCCCCGGACUGCUUUGGGAACUGUACGGCUGGAGUGCAGGAGAGGUAAGUGGAAUUCCUAGUGUAGCGGUGAAAUGCGUAGAUAUUAGGAGGAACACCAGUGGCGAAGGCGACUUACUGGACUGUAACUGACGUUGAGGCUCGAAAGCGUGGGGAGCAAACAGG